Molecule: long non-coding RNA, 3852 nt
Organism: Apodemus sylvaticus (European woodmouse)
Lineage: Eukaryota; Metazoa; Chordata; Mammalia; Rodentia; Muridae
Exons: 5
Source: RefSeq, a predicted model, not a curated record
GCCCUAAGAAAUAGAAGCCGGGAGCAGAAAUUCGCAGGUCUAGGGAAAAGUGCCCCCAAAUGGCAAACCCAGGUGUUAGCCUUGGGUGAAGACAGUGACUAGGGGAGAUGGGUUUUCUGACCACCUCCCCCAACCCAGGAUAACUGUGGGAGUAAAAGAGAAACCCACUUAGUUCUUGGUGGAUACAGGGGCUCAACACUCUGUCUUCCAAGCCAAUGGCGCCGUUUCCAAGAAAAGAUCUUGGAUCCAAGAAAAGAUCUUGGAUCCAAGAAGCCCCUGGCACCAAAAUGUAUUCAUGGACUACCAGAAGAACAAUGGACCUAGGGAUGAGAUGGGUAGCCCAUUCAUUUAGGGCCACCCCAGACUGUUCCUACUCUCUGUUGGAGUAAGACAUACUCUCCAAAAUGGGGAGGGGAGCAGAUAUGUUUCCUGCCCAACAGCUGCGGUUAACUGGCCCAAAAAUAGAGACUGAACCCUGCUGAAACUUGCUAUAGACAGGAGCAGUUUUCUCCAUGAUGGACAGAGAUAAACAGGUGGUGCUAUGGUAGACAACACAAAUGUCAUCUGGGUAGAAGAAUCUUUACCCCCUGGCAUGUCAAUGCAGAAAGUGGAGCUCGUUACCCUAACCAAGACCUUGGAACUUAGAACCAGCAAGAAAAUCAGCAUCCACAUGGAUAACAGGUAUGCCUUUGCCACAGCCCACGUCCACAGGGAUAUAUGCCAAGAGGACUGCUCACAUCAGAGGAAACCAACAGGAAAUCUUGGACCUCUUAUAUGGCCUAAUGAAGUCAGCCACUAGGGUGAGAUCAAUUAUGUAUACAGACUCCCAAGCAGGAUCCAGCAGGAGAUGGAGACAAAGUAAAAUGAAGACAGAAAGGCCAGGCUUUCAUCCUGCUUUCAGCUACCUACUGGGCCCUGUUAAAAAGGUCCACACAAGCCAGGAGGAGCGGAUUGCAGGGAAACUAGACGGAAGUGCCACGUAAGCCCGCCUGUUCUGCAUUGUUUGUGAGUCAGGUGAGAGCAGGGAAGGGAAACACUGUUCCCCUCCUCCCGGCCUGGACUAUCCCUGACUAUCCCUGAGAGGGUACUGGGCCCAAUAGCUGCUCAUUUUGGAGGUCAGAUGAAGACUAGAGCUGACCUGGGCGUUCUUGCCGGCCAGUAUACAGAGUACGUGUUACCUCUUCUCAUCAAAGGCAUAAAUAUUGUGAGGAGAGACACUGCCCAGAAAGGGCAGAGUUCUGCAAAACUGGUUGAAGUUGAGGCAUGGCUCAGGGCCUGCCCAUGCUCAGCAGAAAUGUCUCCCCAACCACGUGUAAAGCUCAGUUAGGAAAUGUGAACCCACAAAAUGAGAAUUACAAGACACACACACACACAUACACACAUCACACACACACACACACACACACACACACACACGAGUUCAUAUUUCUUCCUUAGCCUUUGAGGGCUCAUGUCUCCAGGCUCUGAGUUAUUCUUGCUUCACCUUCUUGGGUCCCAUUGUAUUGUCUGGAGCAGUCACUUUGAAAUGUGUUUCCUCCAGCCUGGGAUUUGAAUAUUAGUCAUUAACAUUAUCACUCACCCUCUGUCCUUUUUCAAGGACAUGCUGAUUAUUCCAUUUUUUCCACCUGCAUUUUUGAGUGCUAUCUGUUGAGAAAUGGCCUCUCUAAGACCUUCCCCUUUCAUACUUUCUCCAGUACAGACUAUAUCCCUUUGAUGGUCAUUAUCCAGUCCUCCAGGAGGACCUUGUUGAGUAAAUUUGAGAAUAAAGAAUAACUUCAUAAGUGAUGAUACUAAAAGUGUUUUUAUCACUUUUGCAGAAAUCAUGCAUUCUAUUCAGAGAUAUCUCCUUUUCUCCAAUACUGUCAGUGGUCACAGGUGCCUGUCACAGGCACCGUGGUUGAAAAGUACACGAGUUUUACUAGCAGCAGUUUCCUAUACCAUAUGUACACUGGUCUCAUAUCAAAGGCAGUGCCAAUUGAUGACCUCCACCAUCUAUGUUUAUGCUCUUCUGAAGAAAACAACCUGAAAUGAUGCAAAUCCCUUGCCAAAAGACAUCUCAAAUCCAGCUGUGGUUACUGAUUUAUUGAUGGACAUUAUCCAGUGGCCUUGAGGAGGUGGUGGGCAAGCAAAGCCAUGGCCUAUAAAUAAGGAGAGACAGCUUAGCAUCCAUCCUCCAGUGAAUAAUAGAACAAAAGCUGCCAGUGCCUGCCUGCAGGAUCAAAGCUCAUGGGCAAACAUUGUGUCUCUCAGUUAAAUAAAUCCAAAAAAAGGCACUUGAGUGGUGAAGCCAUAGAACUUUCUGGGAACGAAGUCUGAGCAGAAGACAAACCUGAUAGAGAGAGGAUUUCUGUACUCCCCUACACAGUGGCACUUUCUUGUGGUAUUUCUCUGGAGUUGGAGGACUGAUCCCUCUAUCUCCUUAUAUGUCAUCUAUCUCAAAGCUCAGAGAGUUAGAGUGGGCUAAGCUAGAGGUGAUGGGGAAAACAAUUCUGAGCUAGGUGGUAGGAGACUUAAGGUUGGUGAGCUUAGGCACCUCAAGAGUUUUCUAGGUCUUAGUUUCCCCAUUUGUAAAGAAAGGGAAAAAUAUUGGCUCAAACCUCCUAUUCCUGUCAACAAAUCCACUUCUUUAGAAAAAGAAAGACUAGAUCAGUUGCUAUCAGGCCCUGUUCUAGUUACUGACUGAUAAGUAGAGUAGUGACCAUUGCUAUUCUGGGUCUCAGUACAAAAAUGCCCAUUUCCUGGGAAAUCUGGAGAUGGCAUGUGGGCAGACUUAUUCAUUCUCUCUUGUAGCCUGAUCACACUUGCCAGUAGAUAAAGCAGCAGUAGCCUCAGAUUGAUUCUAAGGGCAAAUUCAUUAGGGUUGUAUUAGGGUUUAAAACUUGAAAACAGUUUUUAGGAUACUAAAUUCUGUGGCUGGAGGUUGGCUCAGUGGUUAUGAGCACUUAUUGCUCUUUCAUAGGAUUGAGGUUCAAUUUCCAACAUGCACAUGGGAACUUACAACUGUCUGUAACUUCAGUCCUCUUAACCUCUGGGCAAUCUCCACAGCCUAUGUUGACUAUCUUUUUUAAAUGCUUAGUAGAAGAUUUAGAAAUGUUUGUGAGUUAAAUGUAUUGCUGCUUUUUCAAUUGAGAUUUUUGUUCUUUGGGUGAAUUGUAGUAUUCUCUCUGUAUUUUGGAUAUGAGUCCUGAGUGACAGAUGAAUUGCAAAUGUUUUCUCCUGGUCUGUGGCUUGCCCUUUCUUUGAUCUUAUUUAUUUAUGUAGACAGUGUCUUACUGUGUAGCCCUUGCUGGCCUGUAACUCAUCAUAAAGACCUGUCUGGCCUCAAACUCACAGAGAUCAUCCUACCUCUUCCUCUCUACAGCUGAAACUAAAGGCAUGUUCAGCUUGCAUUUUCUUUUUUUAUAUAAUGCCCUUUUAAGACGAGAAAUCUUAAACCUUUGAUGAAGUCUGUUGGUUGAUAUUUUCUCUUGUAUUUUUUAAUUGCCCCACCCCCAAAAAUAUUGUCUCUCCUGAGGUCACUAAUAUUUCUUCUAUAUUUUCGUACAGUUUUAGUUUUAUAUAUAUAUGCAUUAACCAUUUUGAAUCAGUCUUUGGUACAGCGUAAGGUAAGAACUCAGUUGACUUAAUAAAUUUUUUUCUGUAGGGUUAUUUAACCACAUCAUUUUACUUUCUGGAAAAACAGUCAUCUGUACCUUAUCAAACAUAAACUGAGGGCUAGGCUUGGUGGUACACACCUCUAAUUCCAGCAGAGGCAAGCAAAUCUCUGAGAAUUUGAGGUCAAUUUGGUUUUCAUAGCGAGUUCUAGGCCAACCAAAGCCACAUAAUAGUAAGACCCUGUCUCAAUAGAUAGAU